This 466-nucleotide ribosomal RNA is filed under the name uncultured bacterium. RNAcentral's name for it is "partial 16S ribosomal RNA". It matches the Rfam family "Bacterial small subunit ribosomal RNA", at positions 28 to 507 of the family's 1533-position model. The record is from RNAcentral.
GACGAACGCUGGCGGCGUGCUUAACACAUGCAAGUCGAACGGAAAGGCCCUGCUUUUGUGGUGCUCGAGUGGCGAACGGGUGAGUAACACGUUAGUAACCUACCCUUGACUUUGGGAUAACUUCAGGAAACUGGGGCUAAUACCGGAUAGGAGCUCCUGCUGCAUGGUGGGGGUUGGAAAGUUUCGGCGGUUGGGGAUGGACUCGCGGCUUAUCAGCUUGUUGGUGGGGUAGUGGCUUACCAAGGCUUUGACGGGUAGCCGGCCUGAGAGGGUGACCGGCCACAUUGGGACUGAGAUACGGCCCAGACUCCUACGGGAGGCAGCAGUGGGGAAUAUUGCACAAUGGGCGGAAGCCUGAUGCAGCAACGCCGCGUGCGGGAUGACGGCCUUCGGGUUGUAAACCGCUUUCGCCUGUGACGAAGCGUGAGUGACGGUAAUGGGUAAAGAAGCACCGGCUAACUACGUG